CUCCGCGUCAGUGAAGGCGGCCCCGCGACCCUUUCAAGGUCGAGAUCGCGGGUUCGAAUCCCGCCGGGGUCACCA
Molecule: transfer RNA, 75 nt
Filed under: Candidatus Rokuibacteriota bacterium
Lineage: Bacteria; Candidatus Rokuibacteriota
Description: Candidatus Rokubacteria bacterium tRNA-Glu
Rfam family: tRNA (bases 7-72)
About the family: Transfer RNA (tRNA) molecules are approximately 80 nucleotides in length. Their secondary structure includes four short double-helical elements and three loops (D, anti-codon, and T loops).
Source: RNAcentral